This is a long non-coding RNA of Arabidopsis thaliana (thale cress), 314 nucleotides long. RefSeq annotates it as other RNA. The transcript has a single exon. The record is from RefSeq. NCBI's taxonomy places the organism in Eukaryota, Viridiplantae, Streptophyta, Magnoliopsida, Brassicales, Brassicaceae.
CUUCUUUUAGUGCUCUUCUCUCAUGUAUAAAAGAAAAUUUCAAUCAUUGGGAUCAGUUAUCCCACCUCCAUGUGCUUCCAAAAAGAGUUUUGUGGUAUGAUCCAAUCCAAUGAUAUCUUUUACACAUACAUAAAUACAUUGUUUCUUCAUCAUUUCUCCAUCUCUUUGAAAACCACUAAGCAUGGGUUAUACAGGCAUACAGCCAUAAUCACAUGGGUUUUAACCAGCUUUCUGAUAUAACCCUCCUAUAUUACUGCAACAGCAUCCAUUUACCAAGGAAUUAAAAGAGAGAAUCUCCCCAACUUUUGAAUACC